UGGGUUUGGCUAUGAUUAUAAAGUAAGUCUGAAUGCUUAGUUGUAAUUUUGCAAUUGGGUACCAGUAUGACAGACUCCUAUACACCCAUAGAAUAUGAGCCCC
Molecule: small nucleolar RNA, 103 nt
Organism: Prunus dulcis (almond)
Lineage: Eukaryota; Viridiplantae; Streptophyta; Magnoliopsida; Rosales; Rosaceae
Product: small nucleolar RNA snoR8a
Exons: 1
Source: RefSeq, a predicted model, not a curated record